This 409-nucleotide ribosomal RNA is filed under the name Fusobacteriota bacterium. RNAcentral describes it as "Fusobacteria bacterium partial 16S ribosomal RNA". It matches the Rfam family "Bacterial small subunit ribosomal RNA", at positions 355 to 776 of the family's 1533-position model. The record is from RNAcentral. Lineage: Bacteria; Fusobacteriati; Fusobacteriota.
UGGGGAAUAUUGCACAAUGGAGGGAACUCUGAUGCAGCAACGCCGCGUGCGGGAUGACGGCCUUCGGGUUGUAAACCGCUUUCAGCCAUGACGAAGCUUUUGUGACGGUAGUGGUAGAAGAAGCACCGGCUAACUACGUGCCAGCAGCCGCGGUGAUACGUAGGGUGCGAGCGUUGUCCGGAAUUAGUGGGCGUAAAGAGCUUGUAGGCGGUUUGUCGCGUCGAUAGUGUAAACACGCAGCUUAACUGUGUGCCUGCUGUCGAUACGGGCUGACUAGAGGAGGGUAGGGGAGAAUGGAAUUCCCGGUGGAGAGGUGGAAUGCGCAGAUAUCGGGAGGAACACCAGUGGCGAAGGCGGUUCUCUGGACCUUUCCUGACGCUGAGAAGCGAAAGCGUGGGUAGCAAACAGG